GUGGGGAAUCUUCCGCAAUGGACGAAAGUCUGACGGAGCAACGCCGCGUGAGUGAAGAAGGUUUUCGGAUCGUAAAGCUCUUUCGUUAGGGACGAACGUGCUCUUUGUAAAUAAUGAGGAGUAAUGACGGUACCUAAAUAAGAAGCCACGGCUAACUACGUGCCAGCAGCCGCGGUAAUACGUAGGUGGCAAGCGUUGUCCGGAAUUAUUGGGCGUAAAGCGCGCGCAGGCGGGAUAUCAAGUCUGUCUUAAAAGUGCGAGGCUCAACCUCGUGAGGGGACAGAAACUGGUAUUCUUGAGUGUCGGAGAGGAAAGUGGAAUUCCAAGUGUAGCGGUGAAAUGCGUAGAGAUUUGGAAGAACACCAGUGGCGAAGGCGACUUUCUGGACGAUGUCUGACGCUGAGGCGCGAAAGCUAGGGGAGCGAACGGGAUUAGAAACCCGAGUAGUCC
This 450-nucleotide ribosomal RNA is filed under the name uncultured bacterium. RNAcentral describes it as "partial 16S ribosomal RNA". It matches the Rfam family "Bacterial small subunit ribosomal RNA", at positions 354 to 796 of the family's 1533-position model. The record is from RNAcentral.